This 22-nucleotide microRNA is filed under the name Drosophila mojavensis. RNAcentral describes it as "Dmo-Mir-2-P2a_5p* (star (passenger))". Lineage: Eukaryota; Metazoa; Arthropoda; Insecta; Diptera; Drosophilidae. The record is from RNAcentral. RNAcentral also lists the same sequence under 1 other name.
CUCUUCAAGGGGUUGUGAAAUG